Molecule: ribosomal RNA, 779 nt
Filed under: uncultured bacterium
Lineage: Bacteria
Description: bacterial SSU rRNA
Rfam family: Bacterial small subunit ribosomal RNA
Source: RNAcentral
CGGAAGGCCCUUCGGGGUACUCGAGUGGCGAACGGGUGAGUAACACGUGGGUGAUCUGCCCUGCACUUUGGGAUAAGCCUGGGAAACUGGGUCUAAUACCGAAUAUGACCAUGCGCCUCCUGGUGUGUGGUGGAAAGCUUUUGCGGUGUGGGAUGGGCCCGCGGCCUAUCAGCUUGUUGGUGGGGUAAUGGCCUACCAAGGCGACGACGGGUAGCCGGCCUGAGAGGGUGACCGGCCACACUGGGACUGAGAUACGGCCCAGACUCCUACGGGAGGCAGCAGUGGGGAAUAUUGCACAAUGGGCGCAAGCCUGAUGCAGCGACGCCGCGUGAGGGAUGACGGCCUUCGGGUUGUAAACCUCUUUCAGCACAGACGAAGCGCAAGUGACGGUAUGUGCAGAAGAAGGACCGGCCAACUACGUGCCAGCAGCCGCGGUAAUACGUAGGGUCCGAGCGUUGUCCGGAAUUACUGGGCGUAAAGAGCUCGUAGGUGGUUUGUCGCGUUGUUCGUGAAAACUCACAGCUUAACUGUGGGCGUGCGGGCGAUACGGGCAGACUUGAGUACUGCAGGGGAGACUGGAAUUCCUGGUGUAGCGGUGGAAUGCGCAGAUAUCAGGAGGAACACCGGUGGCGAAGGCGGGUCUCUGGGCAGUAACUGACGCUGAGGAGCGAAAGCGUGGGGAGCGAACAGGNNNAGAUACCCUGGUAGUCCACGCCGUANACGGUGGGUACUAGGUGUGGGUUUCCNNNCNUGGGAUCCGUGCCGUAGCUAACGCAUUA